This is an RNA transcript of Setaria italica (foxtail millet), 1452 nucleotides long. RefSeq lists it as uncharacterized. The transcript is spliced from 4 exons. Lineage: Eukaryota; Viridiplantae; Streptophyta; Magnoliopsida; Poales; Poaceae. The record is from RefSeq and is a predicted model, not a curated record.
AUCGGUACCAGCAGCCUUAUCUCCGCAAUCUCCUAAUCUCCCCCACGCGACCUCGCUCCCCUCCGUACCUCACGCAUCGCCGCCCCCUCCCCUGAAUUCGUCAACACCCAUGCUCGUUCUACUCCCUGCAGAUCGAAUCGGAGCUCGAUUCGCGGCCAUCCUCAUGUCCCUGCAACAAAUCGGCGCAAGAUCCACCCCCAAUAGCAGCCGCAUCCACCAUAUAGCUGCAGCCAUGGAGGAAUCCCUAGCAACCCCGCAAUGGAUGGUGGGCGUCGAGGAGAAAGGGGGCUGCUGGGGGGAGCCGGCCGAGGAGGCGAGAAACGAUGUAUUGGACGGCAUGGUUUUUGGGUGAGUCUCCGCGGUCGGAAUCAGGGAGCUAUGGUUGAAGAAGGAGUCGAUUUUGCUCAAGAUUCGGUGGUGGGUGGGGGUGAUGACUUCCUCUUUGUAUCUGAUUCAGAGGAAGAAGUAAGCAAUGACUUCAAUGAUCGUUCUUUCGCCCCGCACUCCAAGGUCCCAGGUGCCAACGAUGUCCAUGCAUCUCCAUCCCUGGCCAAGGCUGAUGACUAUAAUCCCUUGUCUACUCCACAGCAGCCGGGUGCCGUUUGCGCUCCCUUCACGGCGCCGCCGUACUCAGAUGGUCUGGAAGCUGUUGCAUGGCAUGACAUUGCCGGCCACUCUCAACCACCGGAAGAAGAAGCAUACGUGGAGCACCCUGAUCUGCAGGGACAAGAUGCAGGUGCUGACGAUGAAUUUCGCGAGAGAGGCGAAAAAAUCUAGGUCAAGAACAUUCAUAUCGGGUGAGUUAGGAGGCUGGUGCAUUAUGCGAAUGUCAAGCCCUGUUUUUGCCACAACAUUAAGAAAUGCUUCGUCAUCAGCAGGCACAUGUGUGCGAGCAUUAUCUUGUUGAAUCCAAAUGGUCUUCCCUGCAUCUUCUUGAGGCCAUGAUGCUACAAUAGCCGAUCGAAGUGAUGGGUAGCAUGGCCUUGUUCAUCCUGGACAGCAUGCUCUUCUAGCUCUCCGUCUUGCACAUGCAGGAAAAUGUUUGAUUGCCAAUAUAAAUACCUGAUUCAUCAUGGUAAUCCUCAUCUUCGGCUUGCUCGUUCAUAUCAAAAUUAUGGGUAGCGUAGCCUUGUUCAUCCUGGACAGCAUGUUCUAAAGGAUGGGCAGCAUGUCUCUGUUCUUCAUGGACGAAUCCAUCUUCCUGGACCUGGUCACCUUCUUCAACUUCAUGGCCUUGCUCUCCUGUUGCAUCGAGUGGUACAUUUAGAUCUAGGUGAGUUUUCAUGGAGGUGUUGAAGAAAUGGCUGUAUAGGAGAUGGUAGGGGAGCUCUAUGCGCUGAAUGUCUAGAUGGGCUUUGUAACCUCUUGAGUAUUCAUUUUCCUACGCUGAAUGUUUUUGGCGGUAAGAAAAAAGGCGCUAAUGAUCUCCUGGAGUAAUCAUUUGAUUUUUUA